This 71-nucleotide non-coding RNA is filed under the name unclassified sequences. RNAcentral's name for it is "DUF3800-X RNA". It matches the Rfam family "DUF3800-X RNA". The record is from Rfam by way of RNAcentral.
AGGUGAGUAAGUCCUUCUGAAAGAAUGAGGCCCGUGGAUACGGGGUGGGAUGAGUAAGAAAGGGUUCACCU